CUGUUUCAUAUCUGGUGUGGUUAUUUGUUUCCAAGUUCUUGCUAUUAGUAUCUUUGCCGCAAUAAAGGAGUGGAUGGUCAAUACUAAUUGGUCUCUUGGGAGUCUAUCACAAUUAAGAUGGAGUAGACCUGCCUGUGGGCAUUUUUUUACUUUAAUAUUGAAAAACUCCAAAAAAAGAUAUACUGAUUGCCAUAAAGUGCUAAUUUUUGGGCAACCCCACCAGAUAUGUAACAUGUCUCCCUCAUGUGUUAGACAUCUCCAACACAGGGAGGAAUUAGAUGAUAUCUUGGCCAACCUUGUUGGUACUAGGUACCACC
This is a non-coding RNA of Pelobates cultripes (western spadefoot toad), 317 nucleotides long. Lineage: Eukaryota; Metazoa; Chordata; Amphibia; Anura; Pelobatidae. The record is from the annotation of a GenBank genome assembly.